UCUGGCCUCUUCGGGGUCCGAGUUGUAAUUUGUAGAGGGUGUUUCGGGCGCGAUGCCGGUCUAAGUUCCUUGGAACAGGACGUCGUAGAGGGUGAGAAUCCCGUAUGCGGCCGGCGAUCAAGUCUGUGUGAAGCCCCUUSGASGAGUCGAGUUGWUUGGSAAUGCAGCUCAAAAUGGGUGGUAAAUUUCAUCUAAAGCUAAAUAUCGGCCAGAGACCGAUAGCGGACAAGUAGAGUGAUCGAAAGAUGAAAAGCACUUUGGAAAGAGAGUCAAACAGUACGUGAAAUUGUUGAAAGGGAAGCGCUUGCAAUCAGACCGGUCCGGAGGCGAUCAGCCGCUGCUCGUCAGCGGUGCACUCGCCUGCGAUCCGGCCAGCAUCGGUUCGGGCGGUGGGAUAAAAGUCCCGGGAAUGUAGCUUCUUUCGCGGAGUCUUAUAGCCCGGGUCGCAAUGCCGCCCGCCCGGACCGAGGACCGCGCU
Molecule: ribosomal RNA, 478 nt
Filed under: Sticta babingtonii
Lineage: Eukaryota; Fungi; Ascomycota; Lecanoromycetes; Peltigerales; Lobariaceae
Description: eukaryotic LSU rRNA
Rfam family: Eukaryotic large subunit ribosomal RNA
Source: RNAcentral